Papillibacter cinnamivorans DSM 12816 is the source of this 116-nucleotide ribosomal RNA. The record is from Rfam. NCBI's taxonomy places the organism in Bacteria, Bacillati, Bacillota, Clostridia, Eubacteriales, Oscillospiraceae.
GUUGGUGCUGAUUGCGGCGAGGGUCCACCCGUUCCCAUUCCGAACACGGAAGUUAAGCUCGCCCGCGCUCAAAAUACUUGGCUGGAAACGGCCCGGGAAAAUAGGUAGUGCCAACA